GAUGAACGCUGGCGGCGUGCCUAAUACAUGCAAGUCGAGCGAACAGACGAGAAGCUUGCUCCUCUGACGUUAGCGGCGGACGGGUGAGUAACACGUGGAUAACCUACCUAUAAGACUGGGAUAACUUCGGGAAACCGUAGCUAAUACCGGAUAAUAUUUUGAACCGCAUGGUUCAAAAGUGAAAGACGGUCUUGCUGUCACUUAUAGAUGGAUCCGCGCUGCAUUAGCUAGUUGGUAAGGUAACGGCUUACCAAGGCAACGAUGCAUAGCCGACCUGAGAGGGUGAUCGGCCACACUGGAACUGAGACACGGUCCAGACUCCUACGGGAGGCAGCAGUAGGGAAUCUUCCGCAAUGGGCGAAAGCCUGACGGAGCAACGCCGCGUGAGUGAUGAAGGUCUUCGGAUCGUAAAACUCUGUUAUUAGGGAAGAACAUAUGUGUAAGUAACUGUGCACAUCUUGACGGUACCUAAUCAGAAAGCCACGGCUAACUACGUG
RNAcentral lists this ribosomal RNA (497 nucleotides) under uncultured bacterium. RNAcentral's name for it is "partial 16S ribosomal RNA". It matches the Rfam family "Bacterial small subunit ribosomal RNA", at positions 28 to 507 of the family's 1533-position model. The record is from RNAcentral.